Molecule: ribosomal RNA, 687 nt
Filed under: uncultured archaeon
Lineage: Archaea
Description: bacterial SSU rRNA
Rfam family: Archaeal small subunit ribosomal RNA
Source: RNAcentral
GUGGCGCACGGCUCAGUAACACGUAGUCAACAUGCCCAGAGGACGUGGAUAACCUCGGGAAACUGAGUCUAAACCGCGAUAAGUGAGGAUUUCUGGAAUGGUUCCUGACUAAAAUCUAUAUGGCCUUUGGAUUGGACUGCGUCCGAUCAGGCUGUUGGUGAGGUAAUGGCCCACCAAACCUGUAACCGGUACGGGCUCUGAGAGGAGGAGCCCGGAGAUGGGUACUGAGAAAAGGACCCAGGCCCUAUGGGGCGCAGCAGGCGCGAAACCUCUGCAAUAGGCGAAAGCCUGACAGGGUUAUUCUGAGUGACUUUCGCUAAGAAAGUCUUUUGACACCUCUAAAAAUGGUGUAGAAUAAGGGGUGGGCAAGUCUGGUGUCAGCCGCCGCGGUAAUACCAGCACCCCGAGUGGUCGGGACGAUUAUUGGGCCUAAAGCAUCCGUAGCCGGUUUUACAAGUCCUCUGUUAAAUCCAGCUGCUUAACAGAUGGGCUGCGGAGGAUACUAUAAGACUAGGAGGCAGGAGAGGCAAGCGGUACUCAGUGGGUAGGGGUAAAAUCCGUUGAUCCAUUGAAGACCACCAGUGGCGAAGGCGGCUUGCCAGAAUGCGCUCGACGGUGAGGGAUGAAAGCUGGGGGAGCAAACCGGAUUAGAUACCCGGGUAGUCCCAGCUGUAAACGAUGCAGACU